GCAUACAUAUCUUGGAAUAAUUUUUUUUACACUAGAUUAUACAUUAACAUACUCUGGCAUUCAAUCCGAUUAUCUAUGCUAACAUGCAUUUCUAAAGUCCCAAUUUAAUCUACUCAACAUGUCAAAUUUCAAUAUAAGGCAAUUUUUAUGUGUAUAAUAGGUCCAUACCUUACCAUUUAGUCAUUUUACAUUUUUCCGAGCAUUCAAUAAGUCAUUUAAGCAUCUAUAACCGCAAAUCACUAAGACACAUGCACGCUAAUCAACAUAUAACUUAACCAUUCAUCUAGCAUCAUUCAUGCAACAAUCCAAACAAUAAAAGCACCCAAAAACUAGUUAAAAAAGUCCUUAAUCGAUCCAUGGAAUAUCCAUUUACAAACUAAACUAAAACUAAAGUAUAAUCCCUCAAAAUGAUUCCACAUUGCCAUCCUUUAUUUUCAAGAAAACCAUCUCACAUACACAAUUAAAUUGUUUUGCGUUGAGAUCACAAACUUGCUCACUUCAUCACUCCACACAAGCUAUUUCUCUACAAAAAAAAACACAAGAGAGUGUGAAAUUAAACAAGCUCAGUGAGUGCUCAAGAUACUACAUAACACUUAUCACCAUUAAUCAUUUAAUCAUGUUGAUACAUUGACAUCUUGUCAUUAUGAAAUAUGUAUAACAAUACAACACUUCGGCUCCAUUACACCAAUUACUCAUAGAGUUUAACAUGUUCCAAGUAAGUGUGGCAUUAAGCUAUCACUCUCUAACAUACCAAACAAGUCCAAAUGAAUGGAGCUUAGCUCUACAUUCUCUUAUCCCUCCAACAUGUUCCAAUAUCAAAACACAUAUAUGAAUACUCAAAUCCUAUGAUAUGCUAAAUAGAUCCAAUCAUUUCAAGAGAUCCCAAAGCCAAUAUAUCCACAUUACACAUUCAUUUUCUGGUUUAUGCACACUUACACUUAUCACAUGUUCAUGUAAUGCACUUUCAAGUUUAAUCACUUUGUUCAUUGAGCCACAUAUACUUUCAUAUCAGAUGUACAUUAAACCAACAUAUCAAUAGGCAUAUUUUGACAUAUUCACAUCCAUUUCUUUAACAUAUCACAUGGACAUCUUAUCACAAUUCAUCAUUAUUUGCAAAAUAUUAUAGCUCAAGGAAGAAUCACUUUAACUUUUAAUUUUUUUUUUAAUUUACCCAAGAUUCUAACUCCAUGUAAUAAAAAAUAGAGAAAAAAUUAUACAUGAAUUUUGGUUGAAUGUGCAAUUUGAUACAUGAACUUUAAUUUGGUGCGAUUAUACACAUGAAACUUGAAUUGUGGUUCAUAUGUGUACAUAAAGCUUUGAUUUUAAUUCAAUUGUACACAUUUAAAGAAAUAAUACAUUUAUUUAUUUUCAUAUUGGGUUAAUAUAAUUUUUUUAUACAAUAUAUCAAUAUAAAAUAUUGCUAAUUUGAUAACAUUGUUAGUGGUUUAUGAAAAUUGAAUCAAAUGAUAUUUUUUUGUAUAAAAUCGCACAAAAUUACAUUUUAUAUAUGAAAUUGCACAUUAAAUUAAAAUUCAUGUAUAAUUUUGAUAAUUAACCCAUAUCAAUCGAUAAGUGGGACUUCUUUUUAACAAGUUAGAAGUAUAAAUGGUAUGAGAAUGGAAAUUUUCUUAAAAAGUAAACAAAAAGUACGUCGAAAAAUCCAGUUUCAACCCCAUUGAAAGACAGAACUAAACACAUUGAAAACUCCAUUAACUACCCAACACCACCUUCGCUGCCAUGUCUCAACCCUGUUACCAGUCAUUUCCAUCGGAAGACGAAACAUACAACAUAAUCUCUGUAAACAAUCUCCAAUCCCCAUAUGCACGUGUCGUCAUGUCGUCCAUGCGUGCUGUCAGUGACCUCCGAAAGCCGCCAUGCCACCGAUGCCUUGCUUCCAUGGACCUCCUCGAUUGGUUGGGACUGUUCUUUGGUUUCCAAUGUGAUAACGUAAAGAACCAAUGGGAACACCUUGUUCUCUACUCGGCCAACGGCCAUAUACGUCUCUAUUUGCCACCAGUCGACAACAUUGGAACCUUUCAAGCUGUAGUCCUCCAUGAAUUCCACCAUAAGCUACUCAAAAACUACACCUAGUGUCUUACCUCGGUAGGGCAUCCAACGUUGACAGAUUCGAUUAUGAUACUCGUAGUCGUAGAGAGUAAGAUGCUUGUUAACUUAUCAAUUUAUUACCAUCAACAUUCAAUUAAAAUAGAAUCGUAAAAAAACUCAUAAGAUUCAAAAUAAAUAAAAUAACUACAAGAUAUGUUUCCAAAUCAUUUAACUCAAUCUUCACAAAUCAAAGGAUUCGAUUUGCUUGGUCCAGAUCAAUUCAAUCUUUAAAAAUAUGUUGCUCCACAAGAUUAAUCUUCAAAUAUAGAUCGUAUACGUCCAUAAUAUCAUUUAAGUCAUGGCUCGACUAUUUUGAUUUCAAAAUAUUGCCUACUCCACAAAUGCAAGUUACGAAUUCUAAACAAUGCCAAGUGUCGUUGUAAUUGUUCGUGCCAUUACUCUCAUAACAAUUUCAUUACAAUUUCAUUACAAUUAGCUCUUUCAAGGUUGAACAAGAUUUUCAUAUUUAGAGCACAAAUCUAGUUUCACAAAGCAACAUUUAAUUCAUGAGGAUCUAAAUCUCAUCAAAUCAAUUACUCUUAAUAUAAGAACACAAAGGAUUAAGACAAACUCAUAUUUUCUUGGAUAUAUCAGUAUGCAAGGUAAGUAGAUCACAUUAGGAUCAUUGAAAGGAAAAUCUUGUUUCAUCCAAUCUCAUUUCCAAUUAUAAUUAUAUGAUUGAUUGCACAAAAUUCUUAAAAAGAUAUAGGUAAAAAAUCCAACUUUUCGAAUUUUGAAAUUUCAGUCCUAACUCAAACCAUAAUUGUUAAAUCUUGUUGGUUAAAUUAUGCUGCUAAUAUUGUAUUAUGCAUAAAGUUGUUGAUUUUGUCCAUGUUCUCCAAUUGGAAUAUUCUAGUAUUUUAAUCUAUCAAAUUUUAAAAUUUCAGUAUUGAUGCAAACUAACUAUUAAAUCCAUUAGUUGACUUUUUUGUGAGUAACAUGCGGAAAUAAUAGUCUCUCAUGGAUUAUACAUGUAGAAAUAUGUUUAUCGCAUCAAAUUAUUAUUUUGGUUAUUUUCUAUCAAUUUGAUAUUGAUUCUAUAUACAAAUUAUAAAAAAAUGAAGUUUUAAAAAUAUAUAGAAAUUUAAAAAAUUAAAUAAAAAUAGAUAAAGUGAGAGAAAAUGAAGGGAAAAUUGUUUUUUCGUUGUAAUAAAAGAAAAAGAUUUGGAAUAUAAUUUGUUUUUACGAUUUGAGUUUUGAAAAAUAAUUUAAAUGAAUUUAAACGGUGAUAUCAUAGUCAAUUUCACAAGUCUCUGUAAUAUCCAUUCUGGGAGAAGUUCUUUAACAAUUUGAAACUCGACUUGAAGAUAUUAUUAAUUUGGUUCUAUUCUAUUGAACGAUGAUUUUCAUUCUCAUAUCUCAAUAUUGCACAAUCUUGAGCUUUAUUGCAAUAGAGAUUGAAAUUUUUAAUCAUAUUUAAGCUUUAUACCAAAUUAAUACUAUGUUAAGAGAUUGAAAUUGAUCUAUUUUUUUUUAUUCAUUUUCAUGAUUUUAUACAAUGUUGAAGAUUUAUUGUUGUAAUAAUCUGAAUUUUUUAUAUAGAAUUUUUUAAUUUUUUAAAAUAAUUUUAUAUAGAAAUAGAGCUGAAUUGAAAAAAAAAUAAAAGUAGAAAGUUAAAAUUCUUAUAAUACGAACUAAAAUAGAAUUUUUUAAUUUUUUAACUUUCUACUUUUAUAUUUUUUUAACUUAAUUUUAAAAACAUUAUUGAUGAAAUUAUUACUUUUCUGCAAAUUAAAUGAUGGAAAUUUACUUGUAAUUAAAUAUAAAAUAUAAAGUAUUAUAUAAAUAUUUUAAAAUAAUUUAUGCAAUUUGAUACAUAGUUGUUAGAUAUGUUUAUGGGUUGGGUUACUCAUCUAGGUCCGAAGGCUUGUUCGAAAUUUGGGAGGGUCUAGGUAAAAAUAUUAAGUUCGAAAAAUGGGUUUGGGAAAAAAAUUAGGCCCGUUUAAAAUUUGGGUCGGGCACAGCUGGUUUGAAAAUUUAAGGCCUGAACUCGGCCUGACUCGUUUUUAAGUUUAUAAUACUUUAUAUUAUGUUACUUUUAUAUAUUAUGUGAUUUAGAACAUAUUAAAAAAUAAACUUAUACUAAAUAUAUAAUAUCACUUUAAUGUAAACAUUAAAAUAAUUUUAAAAUAAUUAUAUAAAAAUUUUCAAUAAAUAAAAAAUUAUAAAAUUAUAAAAUAAAAUAAAAUGUAUUUUUUAAAAUUAAAAAAAUCUUUUUGUAAAUCUGGACAAGUUUAGACAAAAUUUUUGGUUCAUAUUUCAGGUUAGGUCGGGUUUAGACAAACAUAAAAUAUGCUAAUAUCAUGCUUAAACUUAAUCUGAUUAAUUCGACCCGACCCUACCUAUAAACACCUCUAUAAUAUAUUACACAUUUAUCUAAAAAAAAUUGAUAUAUAAUUGUAAUAGGAUGAAAUAAAUAAAUAAAUUAGACUACCAACUACAUAUCAAAUUCCUCCCGUUGACUUCCCAUAUCAAGUUUAGUAAUAUCAAGUCUUUGUUUUUUUCUUUCUAAGAAAGUUCCUGACAAUAUUAUUUUCUUUUUAAUAAUAGCUAAAUUUCAGCAUGCGGUCAAAGUCAUAUAUAAAUUACAAUGGUAAUUAAAACGAAAUUUAAAUAUAUUAAUAUUACUAAAUGAAUAUAAUUAUUUAUUAUGAUGUUGUCAUUAAUCUUAAAUUGGUGUCGAGUUAAUUUGUGACACCAUCUCAAUCGACAAUAUAUAUAUAUUGGUGAAUUACAAACAACAACUAGAAUUUAGGUCACUCUUGAGGCGGUGAACACCUUUGACCAUUAGGCCAAUACAUGGAGUUCUCAAUCGACAACAUUAUUAGUAUUCUAUCACAUGUGUAUGGGUAUGGAAACCACUAUUUAGAACACAGAUGUAUGUUUAAAAAUGACAUAUAAUAAGUAAUGAAAUGUAUGGUCGGAAACUAAUUAAUAAUAAAUGAAAUAUGUACAAUAUUAAAAUAAAGAAAUUAGAUCACAUUGUAAGUAAAAUGAAAUAUGUUCGGUUGACUCGUGAUACCAACUCAAUUAGGGGCUUAAAUAAUAGCAAGGAUAUAUAUUUCUACACAAACAAUUGAUGGAGGUAAUAAAAUGUGCAUAUUAAAAUAAAAAUGUAUAAAAAUAUCAAAAUAGAGUUUUGGUUUGAGUGACAAAUUUAAGCUUUUACUAACCUAAUUGGCAAGGGUUCAAAUUUUGAUUUAUGAAUAUUUUUAUUGGUUUUUAAAUAAAAAAUUAAGAUGCCCUCGAAUAAUAUAAUUUAUUUUAAUGACAAAAUAACAUUUCUAUAAGUUCUCUAACUGAAUUGGUGCCCAGUUGGCUCGUAACACCAACUCAAUCAGGUGCUUAAAUAAUAGUAAGUAUAGAUAUAAAUAUAUACAAUUGAUGGAGGUAAUAAAGUGUGAUAAUAAAAUUAAAAUGUAUAAAAAUAUUAAUAAUUUCUUUUUUAGCUGAGUGGUAAAUUAAAAUUAGUUUUACUAAUGCAAUUACUUUGGGUUUAAAUCUCACAAUAUGCGUAAUUGUUUUAGCUCGACUGGUAUGAGUAUUGUUGCAAAUGCAGGAGGAUGUGAGUUCCAAUGCGUUGAAGCGAAUUAUCCUCCAAUUUAUGAAUUGGGGAGAGAUUAUGGGUAGUUAUAUGUAUUGUGUCAAAAAGAGCACAUAUGAUCAAAAUUUAUAAUGACAUUUUUGUAUAAAGGUUAAAAUGUGUUAUUAGUCCCUAUAGUUUUACAAAAUUAUGGAAGGACAUUUUUGUAAUUCUCUAAUUAAAUUGGUAAUCCGAUUGAAGGUGACACGAACUUAGUAAAACACUUAAAUAGAUAGUAUAUAUACUAAUGGUUAAAUAAUAGUAAUAUAAUAUUUAUAUAAAUGUUAAAAUGUGUUGCUAGUCCCUGUAGUUGUACAAAAUUUGAGAUUAAGCCUUUGUAUUUUGAAAGUUAAAAAUUCAAUAAUCUACUUUUUAAAUUUAAAAAUCUUAACUUAAUUAUUAUCUUCGUCCGUAGUUUUGUCAAAAUCCGUCAACCUAACAUGUUUAUUUUCUGCCAAUCGUAUGUUAUGUGAUAUAAAGAUAACUUAAUUAAAAUUUCAAGUUAACAAAAAUUGACAAAAAAUAUUUAUAGUUUUCAUGAUAGAACCAAGAUUUUUAGACCAAUAAAAUAGAAAGACUUAAAAUUUAACUUACCUAACAAAAUAUUUUUAUUUUAUAUAAACUUAUUUCUUAGUCUUUUUUUAUAUUAUACAAUUAAAAAAUUGCUAUUCACACUUGUCCUAACAACAUACCCUUUUGUAUUCACUCAUAAGACCACUUGUGUUAGAACAAUAGUAAUUAAUAUAUAUUACAAAAUGAAUAAUUUAAGACUUGUGAUAAAAUAAUUUAUAAUUUAGGGUUUAAUUUUAUAAGCAAAAAAAGAAGAAGACAAAACUGACAACCGAACACAUUGACAAUCCUACUCAAGUUCCUGGUAUCCUGUUUGCAUUUCCUACAGUUUUGGUGCCAUGUCCCGACCCUGUAACCGGCUUUCACUAGAAGGCGAAGGGUACAACAUAAUCCCUGUUCACAAUCUCGAUGCCAGUCAUCCCUGCGUUCGGUACCCUGAAGUACGCGCUGUCUUAUUAUCCUUGCGCUCCUUGGGUAACCUCAGGGAGCCACCAUACCACACAUGGCAUCCUUCUUCCAUGGACCUCCUCGAUUGGUUGGGACUAUUCUUUGGUUUCCAA
Molecule: long non-coding RNA, 6819 nt
Filed under: Gossypium barbadense (sea-island cotton)
Lineage: Eukaryota; Viridiplantae; Streptophyta; Magnoliopsida; Malvales; Malvaceae
Description: long non-coding RNA (GBAR_LNC013931)
Source: RNAcentral